This 2253-nucleotide unclassified non-coding RNA is filed under the name Hevea brasiliensis (rubber tree). Lineage: Eukaryota; Viridiplantae; Streptophyta; Magnoliopsida; Malpighiales; Euphorbiaceae. The record is from RNAcentral.
GGAAGACGAAGUUCCAAGCCAUUUCAAUAGGCCGAAUUUGGCCCAUGACAAUUUGCACGAGAGGAAUCCAAACCAGAAUCGUGGCAGAAUCAUCAGCAUGCAUUACUUUCCACCUUAAUUCUUGCUUUAAACAGAGUAUCCACCAUGAUUCUCUGAUUCUUCGUUGCUUUCCUUCAUUCCCACUCUACUUGCUGACCAUUUGAGUCGAACAGUAAUACUGUUCAUGGAAUUGGCCACCUCAAUUUUUUCUAUCUCUACAAAGAAUCUUACUUUAUAUGGAUACCCACGAAUUCAAAUAGGCUCCUUCAAGUACCGCCCAUGGCGUACUACACCUACACGCACUGCUAUUAGCGCUAGGAGUUCCUUCACGAAUUUGGUUUCAAAUGGGUAUGUGGGUAGAGGCAGCAGCAGCUUUGGAUAUAAUAAUAGAGCUAAUAACAGCAAUAACAAGAAGAUAUAUACCAUAAUAGACUCUUGUUUGGUGAUUCCUCCACCUAAAGGUAAAAGCCCACGAGCAAUCAUCAAGUUCUUGGGUGGUGCCUUCAUUGGAGCUGUCCCGGAAGUCACUUACGGCUACCUGAUAGAGCUAUUGGCAAAGGAAGGGUUUCUUGUUAUUUUAGUGCCCUACAAUGUGACAUUCGAUCAUGCUCACGCUGCUAAUCAAGUGUACGAGAGGUUUAACACUUGCCUGGAUUUAAUACUAACAUCAGGAUUGCCUGAUGCCAAUUUAACUGCUGCCCAGCUUGUUGGUCUUCCACUAUUUUCUGUUGGUCAUAGCAAUGGUGCGCUACUCCAAGUUCUGACAGGAAGUUAUUUCUGUGACAAGAUACCAAAGGCUAAUGCCAUAAUCUCAUUCAACAACAGGCCUGCUACAGAGGCGGUACCAUACUUUGAGCAGCUGGGUCCGCUUCUUAAUCAGAUGAUGCCAAUUGUGGAGGCAAACCCAAUGUACUCAAUGGCUAGGAGUGCCUCAGGAGAUGCUUGGAAAAUGCUAAUUGAUACUGCUGGAGCAAUAAUACCAGACACUGAACAAGAAGCUCUAACAUCAAUAACCAAAUUUGUUGAUCAGUUGCCCUCAGUAUUCAAUCAGGUAUUUGCUAUCUAUUUGCAGCAUCUUAGCAAAUACAUUUGAUGGCUGAUUCUAAUUUCUGCUAUAAUGAUUUUACUCUGUUCCUGACUUGUUGACCAAGUGCUGGACUAAGCCAUUCCUGUUCAUGAUAUUGUAUACAUAUGUAUGUAUGAGGGAGAGCCUCUCCUUUGUGAACAGAAGGUUACAGGCUCUCUACAAAGAGCUAGGGGAUGGCUGCAUAUAAUAGAUCAUCCUCCCCAGCCCUUGCAAAAUGGGGAGCCUUGUGCACUGAGGAUGUCCUUUACAUGAAUGAUUACUUUAAAGUUUUUGGGUUACAGAGGGAGUAUCAGAGUUCAAGCCCAAACCUUCUGAAAAUCGUGAUUGUUUUAGAAAUUCCUAUAAUGUCCAACACACACUACUGGUGAAAUUCAGUUCUGAUACAAUUGAUGAGACAGAUCUCCUUGAAGAGACCUUGAAGCCUCGUGUUAAGUCAAUGGGUGGGACAAUAGAAAAGGUCCAAUUAAGUGGUAACCAUAUCACACCAUGCAUACAGGAACCGAAAUGGCAAGUAGGUUAUGUGUACACUCCUGCAGAUGCCAUUGCUCAAGGUCUGAAGACUCUCUCACUGAAUGAGACUAGAGUUCUUUCCAGAACCAUUAGCGACUGGUUUAGACGUUUUGAAGAUUGAAAUGCUAGAGGUUCAGAAUGUUUGUUUUGAGGGUGGACAUGCAAUGGUAUGAUUAGUUUUAACUGUAAAUUUUGGGUUAACAAAUAAAUACUUCUGUAAGCAUAACUUUUGUUUCAUUGGUAGAGAAAAUUAGGUGUAUACUGAUUUGUCAGAGUAUCUUCUGUUGGCAAAUAAAUAUAGUGGAAGAUUAUUACAGACAAGGAGGCUCUCAUUCUAAUGGGUGAUCAUUCUUCUAUUUACAAUUUUGUGGUAUUUUUUUUAGUCCAAGACUCUUUCUGAUUUAUUCACCUAGACUUAACAUUCGUAUCAGAAACUCUGGAAGGAAAACAUAGGACCCAUAGAAUUUAGUCUGAAAUGAGAUGCUAACUUUUCUUAUUUAUCAAAAAGAUACAAACGAGGUGUGGAUGAAACUCAGAUCAUCCAAGCCUGCAUUAGAUUCUCUUUUUUCUUGCAGAACAGAAAAAAUAAAUCAUUAUAGUCAAGUGCAACUCAAAAC